AUGCAACCAAGUAGCUGAUGUGGAGGUGGGUGCCAGGAGGGGCAGGUUUAUAUGAGCAAUGCCCUGCAAAGGCCCUCACGGAUGCUCCUAGGCGCCACCACCAGCAUGGGGCGACCUGUGAGCUCCUGGACCCCCGCGGGCUCCUCCUGGGGCUGAGCGGAGGGCGCAUCCCAAGGGCUUGGUCACUAUCUGAUGGAUGAGUGGGUUGUGCGGAUGAGCAAACAGGGACUGAAUAGGAGGUCAGGCGUAUUUCAGCCUCAGAAACUGCACGUGCCCAUGGAAUCAAGGAGCCCAGGAACGUGUUUUGUGUUGAUGCAAACCUGCUGUAACAGACCGCGCCUGCUCCUGACCCAGCAAUGUGGGAAAGAGAAAGGCACGGCUUGUUUUGGUGGUGCAGAGGAGCAGGUAAUGGGAGAAUGCCCCUCCUCUGAUUCAGAGCGGGGAGGUACCCUGGGGCCCCGCCAUUGCCUAAGGACCACGGAUGUACGAAGAACCUUCCGAAGAGGAAAAUAAUGAAAUCAGGAAGAGGAGACUGUAUUUCAUUUGGACGCUCACGUCCUCAGCUGCUGUCCAGAGUUUCUGUCAUUUGCCCCUCUGGUGCCCACACCACACUGCCUUCCGGCUCCCAGCCUGGCGCAGCAUCCAUGGCUUCCUCCUUCCCGGAAGUCAGUCACCUUCUCUUGAGUCUUUUUCCUUUCCUCUCCCCUGCCCCCAGCUAUCCUGCUAAGAGGACGUGGCAAUUGAACCUGAGCUUCUGGAGCCCAGAGUGGAAUCCUGCCCGAGACCCUGACUUGGUCACGAAAACUCUUCAGGCACAGAAAGCGGGACUCCAGAGAAGCACAACCUCCAGGACAACAAUGGUCAUGGAUUGCUGGUGAGGACCACCUUAAAAAGAAGAUCCACAACAAAUGCCUGCGUGGAAGCCCCAGAGGCUGAUGAGGACCAGCUGUGCACCUGACACCCAAUUCCUGUCUUUUAAAGGUUUUGAGAAGCUUCUGCAGAUGACCUUGAACCAGAGGAGUCAGUUAAGCAACACAUCCCUGGAGAAGAUCCUUGCAGAAUUUGGUUUCUGUACGGUCAUGACUCUGGUCUGUUUAGAAGGCAUUAUAUGGUUUGUUUACAAUGAUGGAGGGACACACUUAUGCAUUAUUCAUGGUAUUUGCAGGGUCUGACCUCAGAAACAAAGCAUGCAUUACUAUGCCUCAGCCUCAUUUUCUCAGUGAUUCCUUCAUGGUGGCACAUCUAUACUUUACAUCUGAGAUGAUUGUGAAGUGCAGCAUUCCCUGUGUGCCUGACCAAAACCCGGGAGGGCAAGUGGUUCAGAAGGGUUAAGAAGGGUUGCCUGGGGGCCUGCUCUGCCUCUGCCACCAUGAGCUAUAUGACUUCCGGUGAGUUCUUUGCUCCUUCUGAGCCUGAUUCUCCUCACCUGUAAGAUGGAGAUAAUUAUCCUCAUCUUGUAUCGCUUUGGUGAGCCUUCCGUG
This 1481-nucleotide long non-coding RNA is filed under the name Equus caballus (horse). Its description in RNAcentral is "lncRNA (ENSECAG00000059206.1)". The record is from RNAcentral. Lineage: Eukaryota; Metazoa; Chordata; Mammalia; Perissodactyla; Equidae.